Molecule: long non-coding RNA, 736 nt
Filed under: Homo sapiens (human)
Lineage: Eukaryota; Metazoa; Chordata; Mammalia; Primates; Hominidae
Description: TTC12 divergent transcript, transcript variant 1 (TTC12-DT)
Source: RNAcentral
GGGCAUGGACACGCGAUCAGAUUCGCUACCGCAGAGCUCUAGCUCCGGAGCGCGCCAAGUUGAAGGCCAAAGUCGAGGUUGGGAUGCCCGAUGCCUGGCGCGGGGAGACGGAGGAAGCAAAGUGCUGCUGCCUGGUGGAAAUACAGUAUUAUAUAAUGACAUGCUACUAUGCAUCUCUACCUAACUCCUCGUCUGGUGAUGCCAUAUUGAAAUCAGCCAUACUGAGAGUAUUUACACACUGCUGAAGUCAGUAAAUGCUACAAAUCAAGGCUUGAAUGUAACCUACAUGAGAAAGAGUUGCCUUGCUCACUGCCGUAUCCCAGUAUCCCAAGAACCUUGGAGAUGCUCUAUGAAUACUGAAUGAAUCUGAGAGGAAACUAGCCCGAAGGGGGAAGGCUCUGGAAGCAAGCCCUCAUGGACCAACGGAGAAAAAGGAAACUGAAUCUUGGGGAGAUUAAGCAACUCUUUCAAGGUCAACCGGGGAGCGGCAGAACCAGAGUUCGAAGGAAACCUUUCUGAAUCUGACGUCUGCCCCUUCUAAAUUAGGACUCUCAUCUAUCAGCCUGUGAGAAAAAAUACAGAAAGCAUCAUUCAGGCAACACAUGAACUCAAGACACUGAGACUUCGCUAACCUUCCUCGCACACAAGGUCCUAAAGGAACUACCACACGCAUGUCCACAUUUGAUGCACAUAACAGACUCUCACCGCAUUGAAAUAAACCCCAGUAUGAUCAUAA